UGGGGAAUAUUGCACAAUGGGCGAAAGCCUGAUGCAGCAACGCCGCGUGAGUGAUGAAGGCCUUCGGGUUGUAAAGCUCUGUCUUUUGGGACGAUAAUGACGGUACCAAAGGAGGAAGCCACGGCUAACUACGUGCCAGCAGCCGCGGUAAUACGUAGGUGGCAAGCGUUGUCCGGAUUUACUGGGCGUAAAGGAUGCGUAGGCGGAUUUUUAAGUGAGAUGUGAAAUACCCGGGCUUAACUUGGGUGCUGCAUUUCAAACUGGGAAUCUAGAGUGCGGGAGAGGAGAAUGGAAUUCCUAGUGUAGCGGUGAAAUGCGUAGAGAUUAGGAAGAACACCAGUGGCGAAGGCGAUUCUCUGGACCGUAACUGGCGCUGAGGCAUGAAAGCGUGGGUAGCAAACAGGAUUAGAUACCCUGGUAGUCCACGCCGUAAACGAUGAGUACUAGGUGUAGGAGGUAUCGACCCCUUCUGUGCCGCAGUUAACACAAUAAGUACUCCGCCUGGGAAGUACGAUCGCAAGAUU
RNAcentral lists this ribosomal RNA (524 nucleotides) under uncultured bacterium. RNAcentral's name for it is "partial 16S ribosomal RNA". It matches the Rfam family "Bacterial small subunit ribosomal RNA", at positions 355 to 895 of the family's 1533-position model. The record is from RNAcentral.